This is a non-coding RNA of Arachis ipaensis, 1324 nucleotides long. Lineage: Eukaryota; Viridiplantae; Streptophyta; Magnoliopsida; Fabales; Fabaceae. The record is from RefSeq and is a predicted model, not a curated record.
GAUUUCUUUUAAUUAUUAUAGCACUGUAGUGAUUUCUGUAAUUAAUGUGAUUUACUUUAAUUUCUGUGAUUUUAUAUUCGUUGUUGUUAAUUUUGUCAAUUCUUGCUUUAAUCCAAAGUCUGCAAUCAAGAAGACUAACAUUCAAUUUCUUUAUGAUUCAUCAAGAAUGGAACAAAGUGUAAUAAUCCUGGUUGGUUAAUUACCUUGUGGUUGGUCUUGAACCAAUCACCAAUGAGCAAAGUGAAAUCACCAGCAGGGUUUGGAUAAAGGAUUAGGAUGACAGAUCUGUGAUAGAAUUGAAUCCUCCAAAUCCUCCAACGGCUUUGUGAAAUGCAGUUGAUGGAAAGUAGGAAAAGGUGCCAAUAUGAUCCUUGGUUUAAAACUUGUAUGUGUAGUUUGAGUUUGGAGGAAUGGCACGGUUUGUUCCCAACACUCCAUCUUGCCAUGAGUUCUUCUUUUGCUUAAUGCCAUUCCUAUAUAUGUUUUUUGCUUCUUUUUUUUAUUUGUGUUCAGAAAAAUAUUCCUGGCAUUGUUGCUGCCAUGAAUUAUCUUCCCACCUAUUUAUGCCUUGUAUAAAUUUUAUUAAUCAUGACCUAAUAAUGUGGUUUGACUAUCAUCAUCUUAUACUUAAUAAAUUUACCUCUCUUGCACCAGCUAUGCUUCAAGUCAUCUCAAAUUAAUGUUGGAACUUGCAGUUUAAAGCAUUAUUUUGGGUUAUCAUCUUGUGGUUUGACUAUUAUCAUCUUGUUUGUUAUCUGCCUUAAGCAUGAUCUGUUAUUUUCUAUACACACUUGUCUAUUUAAUUGCAGGCAUUGGUGAAGAUGAUGCCUGUUUGAUGUACCUAUCAUCGAAUUACUGCAGGUGCCUAUAAUCUUUUAGAUGUGGUUCUUUACCAAGCAAGUUAUGGCCACAAUCUAUCAGCAAAAGGCGGUUGAUAUAAAUGAGAGGGAGAGCUUGGGCUUGAUCAUCCUGACACAAUAAAAAGCUAUGGGGACCUUUCUGUCUUUUACUAUCGUAUGCACCAAUACGAGCUCGCUUUGAAGUAGGUUACAAUGACUCUCCUCUUCAAAAUGGUUUAGAUGCCUAUGCCAUGAAGAAUUUCUGUUGAUUGUUGUAUUCAGGGCACCAAAAAACUGUGACUCUUUUAAUGCAGUGUGUCAGAUCUUCUGGAUUUUAUAAGUCCCGAGCUUGAUUCUAAUGGAAAUGAACAAGCUCAGAGAAAACAGCAGAUACUUCUACCAAUAAGUGAACAAAACCUUCAACGUGAAGAUGCACCAAGCAAUGUGGGUGUUGUCUAUAAUGGCUUGGAAUAUGCUACUGGUAU